Molecule: long non-coding RNA, 1077 nt
Filed under: Takifugu rubripes (torafugu)
Lineage: Eukaryota; Metazoa; Chordata; Actinopteri; Tetraodontiformes; Tetraodontidae
Description: lncRNA (ENSTRUG00000031872.1)
Source: RNAcentral
GGAAACUGGGUGUGAUCCAGCAGGACCGCAAGGUCCACAUACAUACACAUACACACACACACACACACACUCACAUAUACAUAUAUGCUGAAGUAGUGGUGAACAAAGAAAAGUUGAGAAAUAUAGAAGUUUGUUUUUGCGGAUUUCUAUGUUUAUGUAAUAUCUUUGAAGAACUUUAUUUAUAUUGAUUUUGAAAAUUAUUCAUAUUCGCUGUUGGUUGAUUUGGGUCCUUUGGAUCUCAGGGUGUGGCUCACAGUUCGUUUUGCAUUUAAAUUAAACAUUAAAGUGAAAUAAACAAAGCAUUUACAUAUUAAGGUUUGAAAUUUAUAUACUGUACUUUCCUAAGACAACUGCUACAGCAAAAUGUCAAAAGCGGAGAGUAAAGCAGUUAAACGCAUGACCCCAAUUGAGGUGGUGCAGAAAAACAAUCCCCUUAUUAAAGGCCUACCAGAGGCCUCAAAGAAAUGGAACAAGCGUUGGCCAGAUAUUGAACAACCUUGGCCGGUUGAAGGUACCCUCAACCCCGAUGUGAUUCAAACAAUCUGUACACUUGUUACCGCCUAUAAAGCAAAUGAGAAAAAAGGAAAAAGGGGGAAGUCUCGUGCAGAAAAAAGACAGACUGAACUCGCAAUGUUGCAACUUUUUGAACAGGAGGGACAGAAGUUGAGAUUGGCUGCAAAAAAGAAAAACAGAAUAGCUAAAGAAAUUAUUGAAAGAACCGCAAAACAAACAGCGGCGCUUGUGGAAAAGAUUAACACUCCUUUCUCUCAUACGGCUCCUGUAACAACCCCUCCACCGGAUGAGACAGAAACUGAAUACACUGACAUCUAUCCACAACUUCCUGUACUCAGCCAGAAAGGCAAGUACAACAUUAAAGAUGAUCACAACCAAACUGAAAAGGGAAAGGCAAAAACAGUCAUACACAUUUAUCCGACAACUCCAAAAUCUAAAUCAAGAAAAACACGAGAUGAUGUUUACAACACACUGCUUCUGGAGGAUGAUGAUGAGAGCGGUACAGAUGAAGCCAUAGGUGGCUAUGAUCCCGCCAUUAAGCGUGUGUUGGCUAAAGCUGAAAAG